AGAGUUUGAUCCUGGCUCAGAACGAACGCUGGCGGCAGGCUUAACACAUGCAAGUCGAGCGAGACCUUCGGGUCUAGCGGCGGACGGGUUAGUAACGCGUGGGAACGUGCCCUUCACUACGGAAUAGUCCCGGGAAACUGGGUUUAAUACCGCAUACGCUCUUUGGAGGAAAGGCUUCGGCCGCUCUUGGAUGGUCCCGCGUUAGAUUAGCUUGUUGGUGGGGUAACGGCCUACCAAGGCGACGAUCUAUAGCUGGUCUGAGAGGAUGAUCAGCCACACUGGGACUGGAACACGGCCCAGACUCCUACGGGAGGCAGCAGUGAGGAAUCUUGCGCAAUGGGGGAAACCCUGACGCAAGCCCCGCCGCGUGGGGGUGAAGAAAGGCCCUUCGGGUCGGUUAAGCCCUGUCACGGUGGGAAGAAACCGCAUUGGGGUUCCAAUAAACCCUUUUGCCUGACGGUACCACCAAAGAGAAGCACCGGCUAACUCCGUGCCAGCAGCCGCGGUAAUACGGAGGGUGCAAGCGUUGUUCGGAAUUACUGGGCGUAAAGCGUGUGUAGGCGGCUGGGUAAGUCAAAUGUGAAAGCCCUCGGCUUAACCGAGGAAGUGCAUCUGAUACUGCCCAGCUUGAGUCCUGGAGAGGGGUGUGGAAUUCCCGGUGUAGAGGUGGAAUUCGUAGAUAUCGGGAGGACCACCACUGGCGAAGGCGCCACCCUGGACGGAGACUGACGCUGAGCCACGAAAGCGUGGGUAGCAACCAGGAUUAGAUACCCUGGUAGUC
Molecule: ribosomal RNA, 781 nt
Filed under: uncultured bacterium
Lineage: Bacteria
Description: bacterial SSU rRNA
Rfam family: Bacterial small subunit ribosomal RNA
Source: RNAcentral